AGAGUUUGAUCAUGGCUCAGGAACAACGCUGGCGGCGUGCCUAAUGCAUGCAAGUCGAACGGGAGCCCCUUCGGGGGUCGACCGUGGCGGACGGGUGAGGAACACGUGGGGAACCCAUCCAGGCGUGGGGGAUAACCGCGGGAAACCGUGGGUAAUACCGCAUGAGCUUGGCCUUUGGUGAGAGGGUCAAGUAAAGGAGCAAUCCGCGCUUGGCGGGGCCUGCGGCCUAUCAGCUAGAUGGCGGGGUAGUGGCCCACCAUGGCGAUGACGGGUAGCUGGUCUGAGAGGACGAUCAGCCACACGGGGACUGAGACACGGCCCCGACUCCUACGGGAGGCAGCAGCAAGGAAUUUUCCGCAAUGGGCGCAAGCCUGACGGAGCGACGCCGCGUGGGGGAAGACGCUUUUCGGAGUGUAAACCCCUUUUCUGGGGGAUGAAGACAGUGACAGUACCCCAGGAAGAAGGACCGGCUAACUACGUGCCAGCAGCCGCGGUAAGACGUAGGGUCCGAGCGUUGUCCGGAGUUACUGGGCGUAAAGGGCGCGUAGGCGGCUUCUUGCGUCACACGUGAAAGCCCCCGGCUCAACCGGGGAGGGUCGUGUGAAACGGGGGAGCUGGAGGCAGCGAGAGGCUGGUGGAAUUCCCGGAGUAGUGGUGAAAUGCGUAGAGAUCGGGAGGAACACCGGUGGCGAAGGCGGCCAGCUGGCGCUGACCUGACGCUGAGGCGCGAAGGCGUGGGGAGCGAACGGGAUUAGAUACCCUAGUAGUCC
RNAcentral lists this ribosomal RNA (770 nucleotides) under uncultured bacterium. RNAcentral describes it as "bacterial SSU rRNA". It matches the Rfam family "Bacterial small subunit ribosomal RNA", at positions 8 to 796 of the family's 1533-position model. The record is from RNAcentral.